GAGUCUUCAGAUCAAACAUCUCCUUUGACCGCAUUCCAAUUCUGCGUUGGCUCGAUUUAUAAGGUAACAGUCGAUUCUAAUAGAUUCAAAAAGAAUAACUUCCAGCCCAAUGCCGAAUAACAAAUACCGUAAAGUGUCUCUUUUAGAUGCGGUGUAGUAAUAAUAUUUAUUAAUAUGAUAAAUAUUAAUUCCUUGGGUUUCUUAUGAACUUCUUAUGGAACCAAAAUAAAGCAAAAAAUCCGACAUUAAAAGCCUCUGCUUGGAGAGAUUUCCUGUUCCUGCAAACCUCAUGAAUACAAAAUGGGGCCCCGAGAUUGCACGUUCAUCGGAUAAUUUACCGGAGAACAUUCAUCACGCUCGCUCCCGAACGUUCCGAAAAAUAGACCUAAUUUUGGCAGGCGCGGCUUUCCACCACGGGGGGAUACAAUUAAAUCCGGUAAUUCUGUUCCGAGGAAGAGAAGUCCCAUCGCCAAAAUAAGGACGCCUGGCGACCUUUAUUGAAAUUCCUAGAAAUGAAUCUCCAGGCUAAUAUGGCACAGUCCGAUUCCCGACACGUUUUCCAUUAGACGCGUCGAGAUGCUUCAGAACAAAUGGAAUUACAAUCACGAAAGUUCAAAAAGCCGUCGAUUCGUUUUGACGUGAUGUAUGGAGCCCGGCCCAAAUGAGAUGCGAAAAAUUUGUGCAAAAAAAAGAACACCGAGGCAAAUGGGAUGAUUUAACUACAACUGAAGCUGAAGGUGGCAUUUCGGAGGGGGAGCAAACGUCAACGAGGUGUGGCAUACUUUAGCCUGACACCAGGCCAAAUAGUCAUCAGAACAUGGUCGAGCGAAUGUUUUAUCUCGAACGAAAGUAAAUCAUGAAUAAAAUUCUCAUUUAGCGUUCCCAGAGGAAAUUAUGCAAAUCGUGCGGGCAUGGCGGCAAACAACAGUCAUAAAAGCGAUGCAAAACAAAAACAAGAGACAAACAAACGUUAUGGAGGGAAGCUGUUUUCGGUUCGUGCUUCGCUCCCAUAUAUCUUUUGGCCUUGGCUAGUCAGGGUGAAAGUGAGUUUGUCUGGGGCAGUUUGAAAGAAAGUUGGUGUGGAUCAUGAGUGUGAUAAAAGAGAUAGAAAUAUUGCUAACGACUUAUUCGAAACUAAGGCGAACAUCAUGGAUCUCAAAGAAAAGAGUUUUAGAGUUUGUUUUCUAAUCGCUUUAAUCACCGAACGCAGUACCGUCGGAUCCCUCCUUUUCUUGUUUUUGUUAUUGGAAUGCUCUUCUCAUGUCUAAAACACAUGUUCAAUUAUCGUCAGAAAAUAAUUAUAAUCACUUUUCAUUUUUGCCUGUCAAAUUUAUUCUCAAAAAGCAUGGGGGUCAGUAGGCAGCACCGUACAACAUUACAACUCUUGCAUACUUUUGAAAACUUGAGAAACUUGGGUGG
Long non-coding RNA from Toxorhynchites rutilus septentrionalis, 1419 nucleotides. RefSeq lists it as uncharacterized. The transcript has 3 exons. Lineage: Eukaryota; Metazoa; Arthropoda; Insecta; Diptera; Culicidae. The record is from RefSeq and is a predicted model, not a curated record.